This is a long non-coding RNA of Oryza sativa Japonica Group (Japanese rice), 962 nucleotides long. RefSeq lists it as uncharacterized. The record is from RefSeq and is a predicted model, not a curated record. Lineage: Eukaryota; Viridiplantae; Streptophyta; Magnoliopsida; Poales; Poaceae.
UUGAUUCCAGCAUUUUUUGUCAUUGAGUUGAGUUACAAAUUGUUUUGGAUAGCAUCACAUCAGUACAGAUUAGAGAUGGCAAUGGUGAAUUCACCGUCGGGGGUCACCGCUGCGUCCCCAUCACCGCGGUGAAAAAAUUUCACCGUCCCCGCCCCCGUCAACCACGACGGGGGUACAUUUUCUCCAGCCCCGAUCACCACGCGCUUACCGGGGGGCGGAGGCCGAAGCCAUGGUCGGCCGUCGGCGGAUGGCGUGCUGGCGGUGGACGACGUGCGGGCGAGUGACGACGGAAGGCGCUGGCGGACGUCGAUGGCGAUGGCGGCUCCCGGUGACUACGGCUGCAGGCGCCGUGCCUGACUGCGCGUGGACGGAGGCUCCCGGCGGCUGCCGGCGGCGCGUGGACGGAGGCUCCCGGCGGUGCAUCGACGGGUGCCCGCGCCACGCGAGAGAAGGCAGCGAGCGGCGGUGCGCCUGGCUCUCGGCGGAUUGACGGUGCAUGGUGGCACGCCUGACUCCCGAGCUUCCCGGCGGACUAGCGGACGGCGGUGGUGGGCUGGUGGCUGCGUGCGGAUCUGGAGGAUUUGGUAUUUUGGGUGGAGAAUUUGAAGUUGACUGGUUGACUUAGGGUUAGAAGUUAUAUAUGCCUGUUAAAUGGGCUUUAGUAUUAUGGGCCAAAACAUGUAAAAAGUCUAGAAUUAGUCCUCUAUACAGUAAAGUCGGGUCACCGCGGGGGGCGGGGACGGGGAAUGGUUCACCGUCCCCGCCCCCGUCAUCCCUGAUGGUGAGAGUAUUGUAACCAUUUUAUUCCCUAUGGUGAAUACAUAUUAAACAUCCCCGUCACCUAAUAGGUAAAUUCACCGCGGAGAAACGGUGAACGAGGCCCCAUUGCCAUCUCUAGUACAGAUGUUUAUUGAUGUGUCCUAUUUCCCCUUUUGAAAUAUAAUUUCGAUAUCCUUUUGUCA